UUGUUUGCUUUUACCAUUUAGGUCUCUUCUAGCUUUAGGCUUUUUUUUUUUUUUUUUUGAGAAAUAGGCUUUGUUAAUAUUGCUGCUAUUAGUGUUUACAUAUUGUUAAUGAAGAGAUGAUGCAAUCAUUGUUGCCUUUAAAUGUACGAGUGAAUGCAUCUAAAAAUUGAUUUCUGACUUGUAUUGUGCUUUUGAUUCUUCUCACAACAUUCAAUAUUAAAACCUUUCAUGACAGAUGUAGUUUCAGAGCUUACCAGGAAAACAGAGAUCACAGUGCACUACAAAUUGAGUUCACGACAACAAGCUUUUUAUCGAGCUAUCAAGAACAAGAUAUCUCUUUCUGAGUUAUUUGACAACAAUCGUGGACAACUUAAUGACAAAAAACUCCUUAAUUUAAUGAAUAUUGUCAUUCAGCUAAGGAAGGUCUGUAAUCAUCCAGAGUUAUUCGAAAGGAGUGAGGGAAGCACAUAUCUCUACUUUGGUGAGAUUCCCAUCGCCCUUUUGCCUGCCCCCUUUGGGGAAUUGGAGGAUGUACACUACUCAGGAAGUUGCAAUCCUAUAAUAUUCAAGGUUCUUUUUAUAGCUGCUUUCUUUUAAUAUACAUAACUAUGCAAAAUCUCUUGUAUUGUUAUUAUUCUUUUCAAAUAACCUCCAUCCCCCACAUGUCCUCACCCAUCUCCCCUGUAUGUAGUUUAACAUAAAAUAAAAUAAAAAUGAAAAUGAAUAGCAUUGUAGAACUUAUUUCCAUAUCACCUUACAUAUAUGUCACGUUUCCACUACUUUUUGGUUGCUGGUUUUUUACAAGUCCUGAGGAAGGCUGGGAAACACAUUAUUAGUUCCCACAGAAGGCUGAACAAUUCAUCUUUAAAAGCCACACUCCCACCAGCUUGAUGCUUGUUCAUAUUUGUGACAGAUCUUAGCCUCCGAUUUUGUGAUAGGGUCGGGGACGAGGCACUUGUUGCCAUUGGUAAGUGUAACUCCCUACAGUAUCUAAACGUUAGUGGCUGUCAUCAAAUUGGUGAUGUUGGAAUAAUGGCCAUUGCAAGAGGUUGUCCUCAACUUACCUACCUAGACGUGAGUGUUCUCCAGGAUUCUGAUUAGACCACAUUCAAGGGGUGUUUAAUUACAAGUAAUUUAGUUGCUGCUGCUGUUGACAAUUUGUGGUAUCUAAAAAAUGGAAUACAUACUGUAGUCUUGAAAAAACUUUCAGAAAAUGGAUCUUGCAGGCAAAGGACACCAAGUGAAUUAGAUAGAGAGGUUAAGAACUUGAGGGUGGCAUUUACUGACCUGUUUUUGAAGCAUAACACUUUCAAAGAAACUGCAAAA
Molecule: long non-coding RNA, 1326 nt
Organism: Humulus lupulus (European hop)
Lineage: Eukaryota; Viridiplantae; Streptophyta; Magnoliopsida; Rosales; Cannabaceae
Exons: 5
Source: RefSeq, a predicted model, not a curated record